GGACCGGCAAACGGGUUAGUAACACGUGGACAAUCAACCCCAAAGUCAAGCAUAGCCCGGAGAAAUCCGGGGUAAUUCUUGAUAGUCCUUCUCUGUAUUAGGAGAAAGGUAAAGUUUUAACGCUUUGGGAUGGGUCCGCGUCCUAUCAGCUUGUUGGUGAGGUAAUGGCUCACCAAGGCGAUGACGGGUAGGGGGCGUGAGAGCGUGACCCCCAACAAUGGGACUGAGACACUGCCCAUACACCUACGGGUGGCUGCAGUCGAGAAUCUUCCACAAUGGACGAAAGUCUGAUGGAGCGACGCCGCAUGCAGGAAGACGAUCUAUUUGAUUGUAAACUGCUUUUAUCAGGGAACAAGUUUUUAUUGAGCGUACCUGAAGAAUAAGGGGGGGCUAAUCAUGUGCCAGAAGCAUCGGUAAUACAUGACCCUCAAACGUUGUCCGGAUUUACUGGGCGUAAAGAGUCUUAAGGCGGUUUAGAAAGUCUGUGGUUAAAUCUUUGGGCUUAACCCAAAGGCUGCCAUAGAUACUUCUAAACUAGAGGAUGUCAGAGGUUAGCAGAACGUACGGUGUAGGGGUGGAAUCCGUUGAUAUCGUGCGGAAUACCAAAAGCGAAGGCAACUAACUGGGGCAGUUCUGACGCUGAAUGACGAAAGCUAGGGUAGCGAACAAGAUUAGAUACCUUGGUAGUCCUAGCUGUAAACUAUGGAUACUGGCUGGUGGAAGUGUCGACCCUUUCACUGGCGAAGCUAACGCGUUAAGUAUCCCGCCUGGGAAGUACGCGCGCAAGCGUGAAACUCAAAGGAAUAGACGGGGAGCUACACAAGCGGUGGAUCACGUGGCUUAAUUCGACUCUAAGCGAAAACCUUACCAGGGCUUGACAUCUUAGUGGAAAGCUGGCAGAAACGCCGGCCCUCUUCGGACCGCUAAGACAGGUGUUGCAUGGUUGUUGUCAGCAGGUGCCGUGAGGUGCAUCCUUAAAUGGGGAAACCUGCGAAACCCUUAUCCUAUGUUUUAUUUGUCAUGGGAGACUGCCAGGGCCAACCUGGAGGAAGGCGAGGACAACACCAAAUCAGCAUGACCCUUACGCCCUGGGCCGCACACGUGAUACAAUGGCUGGUACAAUGGGUUGCGAUACCGUAAGGUGGAGCUAAUCCCACCAAAACCAGUCUCAGUUCGGAUUGAGGUCUGCAACUCGACCUCAUGAAGUUGGAAUCGCUAGUAAUCGCAGAACAGCUAUGCUGCGAUGAAUAUGUCACUUGCUCUUGUACUCACUGCCCGUCACGCCAGAGAAGCUGGGAACACCCGAAGCGCCUCGCAAGGGGAACUAAGGUGGAUUCAGUAACUAGGGCGAAGUCGUAACAAGGCA
Molecule: ribosomal RNA, 1366 nt
Filed under: metagenome
Description: bacterial SSU rRNA
Rfam family: Bacterial small subunit ribosomal RNA
Source: RNAcentral